AACGCGAAGAACCUUACCUGGGCUCGAAAUGCUAUGGACCAGUCUGUGAAAGCAGGCCUUCCCGCAAGGGACCGUAGUAUAGGUGCUGCAUGGCUGUCGUCAGCUCGUGUCGUGAGAUGUUGGGUUAAGUCCCGCAACGAGCGCAACCCUUGUCCUGUGUUGCCAUACCGAAAGGUGGAACUCGCAGGAGACCGCCAGGGAUAACCUGGAGGAAGGUGGGGAUGACGUCAAGUCCUCAUGGCCUUUAUGUCCAGGGCUACACACGUGCUACAAUGGACGGUACAAAGGGCUGCCAACCCGCGAGGGGGAGCCAAUCCCAAAAAACCGUUCUCAGUUCGGAUUGCAGGCUGCAACUCGCCUGCAUGAAGCUGGAAUCGCUAGUAAUGGCGGAUCAGAACGCCGCCGUGAAUACGUUCCCGGGCCUUGUA
This 428-nucleotide ribosomal RNA is filed under the name uncultured Acidobacterium sp. Its description in RNAcentral is "bacterial SSU rRNA". It matches the Rfam family "Bacterial small subunit ribosomal RNA", at positions 958 to 1385 of the family's 1533-position model. The record is from RNAcentral. Lineage: Bacteria; Pseudomonadati; Acidobacteriota; Terriglobia; Terriglobales; Acidobacteriaceae.